GGUAGGGUGGCCGAGUUAGGCGGCAAGUUGUAGCCUUGUUUACGGGGCGGUAGUCCCCCCAGCCG
RNAcentral lists this transfer RNA (65 nucleotides) under Tropiocolotes tripolitanus. RNAcentral's name for it is "tRNA-Tyr". Lineage: Eukaryota; Metazoa; Chordata; Lepidosauria; Squamata; Gekkonidae. The record is from RNAcentral.